CCAUAACAAUCGACCACGCUGUUUCUUACAAACCAAAAGCCAAUGGCUUCGUCUCUGAGCACAGCCGCCAUUUCUUCUCGAAUCUUCGCUGCUUCUUCUUCUUCCUCCACUUCUCUCCUUUCUCUCCUCCGCUCUACUCCUUCUCUUUCUUUCUCUUACUCUUUCAGAUCCCUCGCCUUCUCUUCUCAUUUCUCUCCUCUCCUGAGAAGAUCGACUGCCAGUGUUCGAAGUAGCGGAAGGUUCAGCACUGUAGCAAGUCCGAGAUGCGCUGCUUCGGAUCCUAAUCAGUUGAAGAGUGCUAGAGAAGAUAUCAAGGAACUUCUCAAAUCUAAGUUUUGCCAUCCUAUCCUGGUUCGUCUUGGAUGGCACGAUGCUGGUACCUACAACAAGAACAUUGAAGCAUGGCCUCAAAGGGGUGGAGCGAAUGGAAGUCUUAGGUUUGAAGUUGAGCUGAAACAUGCAGCCAACGCUGGUCUUGUGAAUGCACUGAAUCUUAUUCAGCCUAUCAAGGACAAGUACUCUGGUGUAACUUAUGCAGAUUUGUUCCAGUUGGCUAGUGCUACUGCUAUUGAGGAGGCUGGAGGGCCCAAAAUUCCCAUGAAAUACGGAAGAGUGGAUGUAUCUGCUCCUAAUGAGUGUCCUGAAGAGGGCAGGUUACCUGAUGCUGGACCCCCUUCGCCUGCUGAUCAUUUACGGGGGGUUUUCUACCGAAUGGGAUUAAAUGACAAGGAAAUUGUUGCAUUAUCUGGGGCACAUACACUUGGGAGGUCCAGACCAGAACGUAGCGGUUGGGGUAAACCCGAGACCAAGUAUACGAAAGAUGGACCAGGAGCACCUGGAGGACAGUCCUGGACAGUGCAAUGGUUGAAGUUUGACAAUUCAUACUUCAAGGACAUUAAAGCAAAAAGGGAUGAAGAUUUGCUUGUGUUGCCAACAGAUUCUGUUAUUUUUGAAGACCCCUCUUUCAAGGUGUAUGCUGAGAAAUACGCUGAAGAUCAAGAAACAUUCUUCAAGGAUUAUGCAGAAGCUCAUGCUAAACUUAGCAACCUUGGGGCCAAAUUUGACCCUCCAGAGGGUAUUGUGUUAGAUUGAUGCUCUAACACAAGUGACAUCAAAGAACUUUGUGGCUCCCGAGUACCCUCGUAAAGGAUGAAAAAAACAAGUUGAACCACGUCAUAAAAUAAAUACAAGCUCACAUCUUAAACUAGGAAGUCCAGAGGAAAGAA
Hibiscus syriacus is the source of this 1226-nucleotide RNA transcript. It is a transcript of the gene named probable L-ascorbate peroxidase 6, chloroplastic/mitochondrial, with no coding region annotated. Lineage: Eukaryota; Viridiplantae; Streptophyta; Magnoliopsida; Malvales; Malvaceae. The transcript has 12 exons. The record is from RefSeq and is a predicted model, not a curated record.